GCUACACAUGCAGUCCGACGUGAAAGGGGAGCAAUCCCCCGGUAGGGUGGCAAACGGGUGAGUAAGACAUGGGUGAUCUGCCCUGGAGAUGGGGAUAUCCCUCCGAAAGGGGGGGCAAUACCGAAUAGUAUCCGGUUCCGUGAAGGGGGCCGGGGAAAGGGAGGCCUCUGGUACGAGCUUCCGCUCCUGGAUGAGCCCAUGGCCCAUCAGCUAGUUGGUAGGGUAAAGGCCUACCAAGGCGACGACGGGUAGCUGGUCUGAGAGGACAACCAGCCACACUGGCACUGAGACACGGGCCGGACUCCUACGGGAGGCAGCAGUGAGGAAUUUUGCGCAAUGGGGGCAACCCUGACGCAGCAACGCCGCGUGUGGGAAGAAGGCUUUCGGGUUGUAAACCACUUUUGUAAGGGACGAAGUCCUUUCGGCAAAUAACCGAGGGGGAUGACGGUACCUUGCGAAUAAGCCACGGCUAACUCUGUGCCAGCAGCCGCGGUAAGACAGGGGUGGCAAGCGUUGUUCGGAGUAACUGGGCGUAAAGGGUCUGUAGGUGGUUUUUCAAGUCUUUGGUAAAACGCCGUGGCUCAACCAUGGUUUGGCCAAGGAGACUGGGAGACUCGAGGCUGGGAGAGGGAAGCGGAAUUUCUGGUGUAGCGGUGAAAUGCGUAGAGAUCAGAAAGAAGGCCGGUGGCGAAGGCGGCUUCCUGGAACAGACCUGACACUGAGAGACGAAAGCGUGGGGAGCAAACAGGAUUAGAUACCCUGGUAGUCCACGCCCUAAACGAUGGGAACU
This 790-nucleotide ribosomal RNA is filed under the name uncultured Leptospirillum sp. Its description in RNAcentral is "bacterial SSU rRNA". It matches the Rfam family "Bacterial small subunit ribosomal RNA", at positions 48 to 817 of the family's 1533-position model. The record is from RNAcentral. Lineage: Bacteria; Pseudomonadati; Nitrospirota; Nitrospiria; Nitrospirales; Nitrospiraceae.